Molecule: long non-coding RNA, 1259 nt
Organism: Mesocricetus auratus (golden hamster)
Lineage: Eukaryota; Metazoa; Chordata; Mammalia; Rodentia; Cricetidae
Exons: 2
Source: RefSeq, a predicted model, not a curated record
AUCCCCUUGAUUUUUAUUGAAUUGUCUUAGAGAAGUACAAAGAGAAAGUUGAUGUUGUUUAUGGGCUUGUUAUAAGCUGUCUUUAUUAUGUUUUUGUAUGUCCCUUGUUUCCCUGAUCUCUCCAGGGCUUUCUCAAAGGUCUUUUCUGCAGCUAAUGAGAUGGUCAUGUAUUAUUUCUUUUAGUUUACUUAUAUGGUGGAUUACAUUUGUUGAUUUUAGUACCUUGAAUCGUCUUUGCAUCCAUGGGAUGAAGCCUACUUGAUCAUCACUGGUGAUCUUUUGGAUUCAGUUUGAUCCACUUCUCAAGGGUAGAAAAAGAGGCUCAAGGUUUGCAGCUGAGAAACAGCACAUGAUCACAGUCCCUCUGAACCACGUCACAGUGAAAACCAAGCUGCAAACUGUGAAAUACCACAAGCAAACUUCAGGCCUUUCAGAGGCUCUGCACUGUUAAAAUAAUUUAUGGAGCUCUGAACUGUUUAAUAAGUAUGUUGAGUAAGGUAGUGGUAUCUAUAAGACAGCAUGUAGCUAUAUAGUAUAAUGGCAGGUUUUCACUAAUGCUCAGUAACAACCGAGUUGUGACAAUAUUGUGCGGGUUGCUGUGUUUCUGUUGUCAUAUUGUCAUUCUUUAUCACACAAGGUAAACUACUCUGCUGUUUCUCAAAGUCAACUAUGAAGUGAUAUGAGGGGCAACUAUGGAAACACACACGGGGUGACCUGGAUCAUGCUCGAAUCUGGAGACUAGUGACCCCCAAAUCCUCAUUGCAGAUAGAAUGAAGUUCAAGGGUUGUCUAUAGAAUUGAGAACUUGUGAGAGAGAAGAUGCAAGUUUCGCCUCAUGGAAGUGGAAGUGUUACAGAAAGCCUCUGGCUUACACCAUAGAAACAUUGCUCAGCUUAACAGCCAAGCGCUCUCAGAGUCCAGAAUUGAUUAAAAUAGAGUGCACUAAUGUGUCUACCUGCUCCAGGACAGUUGCCACGCUGGCCAUUUCAUGCCAUUCAUCAAAAUGAUCUUAUUUAAGGAACACUGAAACAAAGAUAGACCAUUCUCAAGCUGUUUUUUAUCUAUCCUUUCCUGUCUUAUAAAUUGUUUUCAGUAUUAGUUGCUUACAUGUGUUGAAUUAUUACUCUUUUUGUAUGGAACAUUUUUGUGAAUAUUAAUUCUUUGGGGUUGUUUGCUGGUACUUCAGUAAUUACUUGCAUUCGUAUAAUACUAUAAAAUUAUGCAUGCAAAUUGUGUUAAAUAAAAUAUUUUUAUAUAAAA